UCACUGCUAUCGGGGUUCGAUUAAGCCAUGCGAGUCGAGAGGGUUCGGCCCUCGGCGUACUACUCAGUAACACGUGGAUAACCUGCCCUAAGGAAGGGGAUAACCUCGGGAAACUGAGGAUAAUACCCUAUAGGUUACAGACGCUGGAAUGCCCUGUAACCGAAAGCUCCGGCGCCUUAGGAUGGAUCUGCGGCCGAUUAGGUUGUUGUUGGGGUAACGGCCCAACAAGCCGAUAAUCGGUACGGGUUGUGGGAGCAAGAGCCCGGAGUUGGAUUCUGAGACACGAAUCCAGGCCCUACGGGGCGCAGCAGGCGCGAAAACUUUACAAUGCGGGAAACCGUGAUAAGGGAACCUCGAGUGCCUGUAUAUGCAGGCUGUCCAGGUGUCUAAAAAACACCUGAAGAAAGGGCCGGGCAAGACCGGUGCCAGCCGCCGCGGUAAUACCGGCGGCUCGAGUGGUGGCCACUUUUAUUGGGCUUAAAGCGUUCGUAGCUGGGUUGUUAAGUCUCUUGGGAAAUCUGACCGCUCAACCGUCAGGCGUUCCAGGGAUACUGCCAAUCUUGGAACCGGGAGAAGUGAGGGGUACUCCGGGGUAGGAGUGAAAUCCUGUAAUCCCCAAGGACACCUGUGGCGAAGCGCC
RNAcentral lists this ribosomal RNA (640 nucleotides) under uncultured euryarchaeote. RNAcentral describes it as "bacterial SSU rRNA". It matches the Rfam family "Archaeal small subunit ribosomal RNA", at positions 24 to 676 of the family's 1478-position model. The record is from RNAcentral. Lineage: Archaea; Methanobacteriati; Methanobacteriota.